GGAAAAUAGAGGAAAAUGUGGCUCUGUGCAAGAGCUGACACUACUGGUAAUGGUUAAAUCUCUUCACUAGCAAGAACAUUGCCUUGGCUUCUUGAUUGGAACUACCANUACCAAUCAAGCAAACUUUAUUAACUUGCUAAAUCCUCAAUAUUUGUGUUCAUUGCACAAGUAAUCACAAAUACAAUGUUUAUAAUGCCAUGAUAAGGACCACUCC
RNAcentral lists this unclassified non-coding RNA (214 nucleotides) under Hevea brasiliensis (rubber tree). Lineage: Eukaryota; Viridiplantae; Streptophyta; Magnoliopsida; Malpighiales; Euphorbiaceae. The record is from RNAcentral.